GAAGCAUGAGAAACCCUAAUAGACUCAAAUCCUGUUCCGAUCUUCUGAUCCGCUUUCAGCAACCCCAUUAGGGUUUUUCCUUAGGAAAACCUGAGAAAGGGUUAGUUAUCUUCUUCUCUUUGAUUUUGGCUCACAUAUUUGUUUCAAGAUUUACUUUCUCUCUCUAGCUAUGCCUUGCUUGUUCAAUUACAUGCUUCUUGUUUAUAGUGUUUUCUCAUGUUUUCGGUUGUUGUGUUCUUUCUUUCUUUUCUGUGUCAUCGUAUGUGGAGAAUCUUACUUGUAGGAGAGAGAUAAUGUUAGGGUUUUAAGUGACAGAAUUUCUCUGUCUGAACGCGGUUGGUGCUUUUGAGAUCCCUCCAAAUGCCUUGGUGAGAGAGCUGUAACAGCCUUUUCAUAAUUUUUUUCAUGUAUUGUUAAUGUCAAAUUUAAGUCUCAUAUGCAUUUCUUGGUUUUCAUGAUCUGAUCUAUUCAUAUCUAUUCAGUUCUCUGGUUGAAUGUUUUUCCAUCAAUUGGGAUUGAAUCAACAAUUCACUGAUAAAUUAAAUUACAUAUCUGAAUAUAGAUUGAAAUGAAUAAAAGUAAAACCUUGGAUUUGUGACAACUAAAAAACUAAAUAUUGAAUCUCUCUCUCUCUCUCUCCCUCUCCCUCUCCCUCUCCCUCCCUCCCUCCCUCCCUCUCCCUCUCUCUCUCUCUCUCUCUGAAUAUAGAUUGAAAUGAAUAAAAGUAAAACCUUGGAUUUGUGACAACUAAAAAACUAAAUAUUGAAUCUCUCUCUCUCUCUCUCUCCCUCUCCCUCUCCCUCUCCCUCCCUCCCUCCCUCUCCCUCUCUCUCUCUCUCUCUCUGAAUAUAGAUUGAAAUGAAUAAAAGUAAAACCUUGGAUUUGUGACAACUAAAAAACUAAAUAUUGAAGCUCUCUCUCUCUCUCUCUCUCUCUCUCUCCCUCCCUCUCCCUCUCCCUCCCUCCCUCUCUCUCUCUCUGAAUAUAGAUUGAAAUGAAUAAAAGUAAAACUUUGGAUUUGUGACAACUAAAAAACUAACUAUUGAAUCUCUCUCUCUCUCUCUAAGCAUGAUGAUGUGGGAUUCUCAAAUUUCACAAGAUUAUUGAGAGAGUGGUGUUGAGUGGUAAAUUGUUGAACAUUUUGGUAUGUUUCCUUACUGGAGUCAUGGUUGGGCAAAUGCAUGAUGCAGGCAUGGAAUACGACUAGACUAUAUAAUAAUGAAACAGCAGAAAUUUCUUGUCCCAUUUGAAGUCAUAUAUACAGUGAACAAGGCUGCAGAUCUGGCAUGCAUAGAAUAAGAUACCCUUUUCUUCUUGUUUCCAUCUCCAUCUUAUUUUAAGAAAUUGAAGCAUAAGAGAGAUAAUACUUUCUCCACAGCCAACAUAUUCAUAUAUAGAAUUCUUUCCAGGUAUGCAGAAAAGGGUUUGGAGAACCAAGCCAUAUUUUCUCAAUAGAGAAGCAAAGGAUGAACAAUUAUCAUCUGAAAAAUAGUUUGUUGACAGUCGUGUUCCGCGAAAGGGCAAUAGAGACACUUUAGCAUUCUAGAAAGUAGCUUAUAAAUGCAGGCAUUUGGCUACCCUUUUUUUGUGUAUGUAUGGUGUUAUCUCAAUAUAGAACGGAAAUGGUCCAACAUUCACAGCCAUUGAACAUUAUCUUUGAGCACCUACUUGUAUAUUUUCAAGGACAUUAGUCAUGGUAGGAUUGUAUUUUUCAAGGUCAUAGUAGAUGGAAAAAGUCUUUUUUUUCUUUCUCUUUGUGCUUGUUUCUUGAGUUUGAUUCUUAGACAACACUGAACUUGUAAUGACUUUCCAUCUCCUAUGCUCUAACGUCUUAGCAUGGUCAACUUUGUCCGCCGUAGAUGUAAUGUCACUGCCUAAUCUUUAAGACCUUUGUUUCAGGACUCUCUCUCUCUCUCUCUCUCUCUUUCUCUCUCUGUAUGUAUGUUAGAUGAGGUUUAUGAACUUGGACUGCAUUGAAUAACAAGUUUGAUUUUUCUGUUUAGCUUGGCUUGGUGGAGUUUGUUACCCUCUUUUGUUGGGAAGCUUCAUUUGGCUACACUCCACACAAUCUUUCUAAAUUCUUAGAUAGCCCAUGUAGCCAAAAACGUCAUUUAUUUGGUUCGCACAUCUCUUCUAGGGUUUUUAUACCUUAAUUAUACAUGAAGAACACCACAUGGUUGGGGUGUUCCUUCCAGGGAUUUGUUACAUUCCAUUAAUGAGACUCUUCCCAUGAGCCCUAGCUAGGUCCUCCUCUUCAACUUGGCAUUAUAUUGAGUCACGUGGGCACUUCCCCAUGGGGACUCAAAGAGCAAGCCAUAGGCUGUAAUGCAGAAAGAGCCCAUGAAAAAGGAAAAAGUAGUAUAGUACUCUUUGUUUUUAUGUAUACAUCUAUGCUUAUGUCAUAUUCCUCAGGACAAGGAUGUUGCUAAAGACAUUGUUUUCCUCUCAUUCAAGAUAGGUGAUCGGACAUUUUCAUUGACUGGAAGCAAUCAGAACAGCUAGGACAACAAUCUUUUUCUGUUUGUAAUAUUUUUUGUAUAUAAAUUUUUUCAUAGGUGUAACUGUGUAAGGUAAAAUUGCUGAAAUACCCAUCAAUGAAAUGAUUUGAAUAACUCAAAUGAGGAUGUCAGCAGCAUGAAUACAGUACUGUUGGGCCACAAGAACAACAGUAUAUGAAGGAAAAAUGAAGGUGGGUUUCCCUUACUAUGGCAAUUUUCCCUAAUUAAGCUAGCCAUUCACUAAAUGAAUUCAAUAAAUUUUGCAAUUCAGUAUAUAACAAAAAAAAAAAAAAAAAAAACAAAACAAAAGAAGAAGAAAGAAAGAAAGAAAGAAAUAAAGAAAAAGUUAUGUAUGAACUAGCUAGGUUGUGUUCAUCUUCAUGCACUGUUUGGCAGUCUUACCAUAUAUUUAAAACCGAAGAUUAGUAUAUAUAGUGUAGCAAAAUGACCACCUCUUGGUAAGGCCAUGCUGCUAAGCCCUGAGAAAGAGAUCAGUAUGGAGGAUUAGGAGUUCAAGGAGGAGAGAAAACUGUAGCAUCAAUGUCCUUGCGAUAAGCACAGUUUAAUGAGUAUCUAUGUUGCUAGGCCCCAAGAGAGUCAUCAAUAUAUGUACCAUCAAUGUUACACGUGAGUUAGGCAAAGACCUAGAAGAGCCUUAUUAAUUUUGAGAUCGAGUCUGUGUUCAUGAUUUUUGUACAUAUGUAGGGUCCUUGAUAUGAUAUGAUAUGAAAUAAUGAGGUCUGGCUAGCCUUUAAGAUUGAUUGUCACUUGUUUGAUAUUAGUACAAGUAUAAUUUUCAAAGAAAUUUGGUCAAAAAGGUUAUUGACUCAAUUGAUAUAUAGACACAUAUAUUCAUGGGUAGGUACUACCCCCCAUUUGUGUUUGGAUGGAUUCUAAUCGGAUUCCGAUUUGGUCAAUUUGUCUUAUCAAUUCAUUGCAAGACAUUGUAUCUUGCAACACAAAGAAGUAGCCAACAAUCCCUAUAUCUCAAAUUGAAGCCGAUGAAUACUCUACAGGCUUGCUAUCUUAUAUUCUUAUUGACUUUGGUUUCUACGUGGUCCCUUUUUCACCUAUUUAGAUAUACCUCGAAAAGCUUUUAAAAACAAUUUU
RNAcentral lists this long non-coding RNA (3608 nucleotides) under Vitis vinifera (wine grape). Its description in RNAcentral is "long non-coding RNA (VVIN_LNC004521)". Lineage: Eukaryota; Viridiplantae; Streptophyta; Magnoliopsida; Vitales; Vitaceae. The record is from RNAcentral.